Molecule: ribosomal RNA, 492 nt
Filed under: uncultured bacterium
Lineage: Bacteria
Description: partial 16S ribosomal RNA
Rfam family: Bacterial small subunit ribosomal RNA
Source: RNAcentral
AGUGAACGCUGGCGGUAGGCCUAACACAUGCAAGUCGAACGGCAGCACAGUAAGAGCUUGCUCUUACGGGUGGCGAGUGGCGGACGGGUGAGGAAUACAUCGGAAUCUACUUUUUCGUGGGGGAUAACGUAGGGAAACUUACGCUAAUACCGCAUACGACCUACGGGUGAAAGCAGGGGAUCUUUGGACCUUGCGCGAUUGAAUGAGCCGAUGUUGGAUUAGUUAGUUGGCGGGGUAAAGGCCCACCAAGGCGGCGAUCCGUAGCUGGUCUGAGAGGAUGAUCAGCCACACUGGAACUGAGACACGGUCCAGACUCCUACGGGAGGCAGCAGUGGGGAAUAUUGGACAAUGGGCGCAAGCCUGAUCCAGCCAUACCGCGUGGGUGAAGAAGGCCUUCGGGUUGUAAAGCCCUUUUGUUGGGAAAGAAAAGCAGCAGGUUAAUACCCCGCUGUUCUGACGGUACCCAAAGAAUAAGCACCGGCUAACUUCGUG